This 207-nucleotide ribosomal RNA is filed under the name uncultured bacterium. RNAcentral's name for it is "partial 16S ribosomal RNA". It matches the Rfam family "Bacterial small subunit ribosomal RNA", at positions 568 to 774 of the family's 1533-position model. The record is from RNAcentral.
CAAGUAGGCGGUUGUACAAGUCAUGUGUUAAAGCCCCUGGCUCAACUGGGGGAGGUCAUGUGAGACUGUACGACUUGAGGGCAACAGAGGCAUGUGGAACUCCCGGUGUAGCGGUGGAAUGCGUAGAGAUCGGGAAGAACACCCGUGGCGAAGGCGGCAUGCUGGGUUGCGACUGACGCUGAGUUGCGAAAGUGUGGGGAGCAAACG